Molecule: long non-coding RNA, 1859 nt
Organism: Engraulis encrasicolus (European anchovy)
Lineage: Eukaryota; Metazoa; Chordata; Actinopteri; Clupeiformes; Engraulidae
Exons: 3
Source: RefSeq, a predicted model, not a curated record
UUGACCUCCUUCAGAAAAAAAAUGGGGAAUGAUUUGUAGUCCUGUAGCGAUGUCUUGUGAGGACAAUUUAUCCGCGUAACCGAAGGAAAUGUCAGAAAUUGCCUUGCACUUGACACAGCCAGGAGAUGGGAGAUGGAGAGGACCCUGUAGACAGGAGGGGGCAACCUCCACCAGGUCUCACCAAGCAGUGAAGAGAGAGAGGAGGACUUUGUUAUGCACAGCAGGUUACCGCCAAAGCUACAUUCAGUUAUGGCAAGAUACCUUGGGAUGGUGAGAGGUAACCUCAUUAUUGGGAAGCACUUCACAUCUGCGUUGAAGGUCACGUUGCAGCAGGCACAGAGCCCUCACGCCAACACUGACUUCAAGACAGUAUGCUGCUGAAUAUGCAAUAACGCAGGGUCAUCACCAGCUCCCAACCACUUCGCCUGAAGACACCUGUGUUGCCUCCAGUCUGUGCAGCCCCUCUAACACUGAUGCCACCAGCGCUGUAUCCUACACUUAACCAUGGAUCACCACUGCUGAUUCCACCUGCGACGUUGCAGAAGAAGCCAGCACGACCACCAGCAUCACCUGAUGGCCCAGGGGUCUCGACGCCUUGAUCACCUGCCUCCUCCAUAAGCCUCCAUCACAGGCCCUGUCUCCAUCACCAUCAUUGUUGGUAUUGGUCUUACAUGACAAAGCCAUUCUCUGCAGAACUGCAAUACUGUCUUGGUAUUGCAUUACAGUACAGGGCAAUAUUGUAUGUAGUAUGCUUUACAUGUAGUACGCUAUGUUUACAUUUUUUCAUGUACACAUGUAUUACAUUUAUUCCCGUAAUACUGUAUUACGAACUACAGGCAUUUCAUAACUCAUGCUAUAUAAUUGAAGGGCCCAUUCAGACAUCAAUAGACUUGCAUAAUCCAUGUUUUCAGGGAUUAAUAUGGUAAAUGGUAAAUGGCCUAAAUGAGGGGCCUUUUGUUGAUAGCAAGGAUACAAUUGCAUAGUCUUAUGCUUUGGGGGCCCUGUGGCAUAUUACAGACAAUGAUGUUUCCGUCUGGGGCCUGUAACUGUAACACAUGGAUGCAUUUGAAAACCUAUGUGCCUAAAGCCACUAGGCCAAUACAGUAAUGUGUCCUUGACCACCUUGUCCUUGACCACCACCACCAUUGCUGCUGAUCCCCAGCAUCAUCACCAACAUCAUCGCAGCCACCAGACAGCAGGGAGCUCGGCAUUCAAGGGCGGCGGCGCAGACACCGGGCAACACAAGAGAACCAAAAGGCACCUUGUGCAUUACGUCUAUCUCCCAAAAGAGAGGGCUGGGGCUCCUCGUUGUAUUACAGUUGUACCCUCUAAUAAAAUACAUGUGAUUAUUUUUGCACAUAUUUUUGUGUUGCAUUUUCUCUAUCCUAGUUUUCAAAGGGACUCAUUCAUCGUCAAUCUAGUUUACCUGUAUGUUGUCCUCUUAUGCCACUAGGUGGCAUACUGUGCUGGUGUGAAGGACCUGUAGGCUAUGUGCUGUUGGUCUUGCCGACAUGUGGUGCAAGUCAAUUAAAUUCAAAUGUGAUCUUCAUAGGAAAAAAAAAAACACUUGAACCAAGUAUGAUGCAGGCCCAUUUCCUCAUGUUCCACGAGGCUUACCCAGUUACACCACGUUUGUAUUUGAAAUGUAAAGUAAUGUCCAGUAUAAAACUGUCUUUACCCAAGUUAACAAGGACAGAGGAUGAAAGUAAGUGCACAAGUGAUAUCGAAGACUUUUCUAGGCUUUUUACGGUCCAUGUGGAGGUUAUGGCUUGCGCCCCUUUUGUUUACAUAGCCUGGUAAGAACAUGGCGGACGCGGCCACUGAGUAACCCUCUCCCCCCCUUGAUCUGUUUAGCGGUC